GACGAGGGGUCCUAGCGUUGUUCGGAAUCAUUGGGCGUAAAGCGUGUGUAGGUGGCUAUUCAAGUCAGUUGUGAAAUCCCCGGGCUCAACCCGGGAAGUGCUUCUGAUACUGUUUAGCUUGAGUACUAGAGAGGAUAGUAGAAUUCCUGGUGUAGUGGUGAAAUACGUAGAUAUCAGGAGGAAUACCGGUGGCGAAGGCGGCUAUCUGGCUAUGUACUGACGCUGAGACACGAAAGCGUGGGGAGCAAACAGG
RNAcentral lists this ribosomal RNA (253 nucleotides) under uncultured prokaryote. Its description in RNAcentral is "partial 16S ribosomal RNA". It matches the Rfam family "Bacterial small subunit ribosomal RNA", at positions 524 to 776 of the family's 1533-position model. The record is from RNAcentral.